UACAAAGUGUUGAGGGUCUAUCGGAAGGACUGAAGGAGCUAGAGCUACACGCACACGCUUGAUUAUAAAUACUGUCUUCUGUACGAUCGAUCGUUCUUUGAAGAGUCUCAUUCUGUGACAUUUCGUCGCAUUUCGUUUCGUUCAAACCCCAACAUCUUCUGUACGAUUGAUUGUUCUUCGCGGAUUCUUGAAGAUCCCCGUUCUGUGAAAUUUCGUCGCAUUUUUCUACUGAUCGUCUUCUCCCGAGUUUUGUGGUUGCGAUUAUUGUUCGAUAGUCGAUCUACUUCGUCAUUAUAAUGACGAGAUUGAAUCCAGUAGCUCUUGCUGAAUUGGAAAAAUUAGUAGAUAAGGGUUUUCAGAUAAGCACUUGGACAGAAGAGGGAAUCGUACGCGCUGGUGUAAGGAUGGUAACAUUUGUUGCAACUGCCAAAAAUCUUACACAGUUAGAUGACAAGAGCCUGGAUGAGAUAUUGAGGAAGGCCACUGACGAUCUGCUGUGGUACAAUGCAUCUGAGUGCACGGAUGAACUGUUUGCCGGAUUCUUAGAUUGGCUUAAUAAAGAAGAAGGGAAGGCUUUCCUUCAUAAAGUCGGUAGGAAAAGAUUGUUUCGAAUUGUCUUGGGCUGAAGCUGCUUGUCUGUGCGCAUUUAACAAGCAACUUUCAGAGCUAAAUGAUAAAGCGAAAGACUAUAUGUCUGACAAAAACAAACACCUUGCAAUACAGAAGGUUAAUGCUUUGAAGGGCUCAUUGCAGCCUGCAGGUGCAUAUGUCGAGAUGAGUGAAGGUGAUUUAGGCAAAGCAUGCAUGGCUUUGCAAAUGAAGAAGGACCCAAGUACAGCUUCCCAUAAUGCUGCAUUGGUUGCUAGUAUCGACGCUUUUGAGAAGCAAGCGAUAGCAGCCCAUAAGAUUGAGUCUCUGAAUUCUACAGAUAAAAAUUUACUUAAAGAAUGGGUUAAGGAGAAGAUGAAUUUUUUUCUAAAAAAGAAUACAAUCAUACUAAAUUGAAGGAGUAUACUGCGUAUGCUGAAGGGCUUGGGGUCACUGUAGAUCCCGAAGUUUUGCAGUUGUUAGAAAAGGCCCCUCUUUCCGGAAUGAAGCGGAAGAGAAAUAUAAGUGGGAGAGGGAGAGGGAGAGGGAGAGGGAGAGGGAGAGGGAGAGCAAGAGCAAGAGCAAGAGCAAGGGCAAGAGCAAGAGCAAGGGCAAGGGCAAGGUUCAGGUGUUUUCCAGCUGGAGGGGGGCAGGGAAAACGAAGACUAAGCUGAGCAAACAGAGCCUGCAUUGGUAGGAUGAAAUUGAAAGACCAGAUAAUGAAUGCUAUAAAGGAUUGGAUUGUUGUUUGGUUGUAUUCUGUGCUCUUAUUGGGUAUUUUGAACUCUGUAAGUAGAGUCAUUUGUUCAAAAGAAUUAGCACGUUGAUUGGUUGACAUGGAUUGAAAAUGAUACUACAAGGUUACAACAAAAAAGAAAUAAAAUAGACUCUU
Lactuca sativa (garden lettuce) is the source of this 1480-nucleotide non-coding RNA. Lineage: Eukaryota; Viridiplantae; Streptophyta; Magnoliopsida; Asterales; Asteraceae. The record is from RefSeq and is a predicted model, not a curated record.